RNAcentral lists this small nuclear RNA (116 nucleotides) under Carlito syrichta (Philippine tarsier). RNAcentral's name for it is "U5 spliceosomal RNA (ENSTSYG00000030309.1)". It matches the Rfam family "U5 spliceosomal RNA". From Rfam's summary of the family: U5 RNA is a component of both types of known spliceosome. The precise function of this molecule is unknown, though it is known that the 5' loop is required for splice site selection and p220 binding, and that both the 3' stem-loop and the Sm site are important for Sm protein binding and cap methylation. Lineage: Eukaryota; Metazoa; Chordata; Mammalia; Primates; Tarsiidae. The record is from Rfam by way of RNAcentral.
AUACUCUGGUUUCUCUUCAGAUUAUAUAAAUCUUUCACCUUACACAAAAGAUUUCAGUGGAGAGGAACAACUCUGGGUCUUUAACCAAUUUUUUGAGGCCUUGCAUUUGCAGGGUU